GAUGAACGCUGGCGGCGUGCCUAAUACAUGCAAGUCGAGCGAACGGACGAGAAGCUUGCUUCUCUGAUGUUAGCGGCGGACGGGUGAGUACCACGUGGAUGACCUACCUAUAAGACUGGGAUAACUUCGGGAAACCGGAGCUAAUACCGGAUGAUAUUUUGAACCGCAUGGUUCAAAAGUGAAAGACGGUCUUGCUGUCACUUAUAGAUGGAUCCGAGCUGCAUUAGCUAGUUGGUAAGGUAACGGCUUACCAAGGCAACGAUGCAUAGCCGACCUGAGAGGGUGAUCGGCCACACUGGAACUGAGACACGGUCCAGACUCCGACGGGAGGCAGCAGUAGGGAAUCUUCCGCAAUGGGCGAAAGCCUGACGGAGCAACGCCGCGUGAGUGAUGAAGGUCUUCGGAUCGUAAAACUCUGUUAUUAGGGAAGAACAUAUGUGUAAGUAACUGUGCACAUCUUGACGGUACCUAAUCAGAAAGCCACGGCUAACUACGUG
RNAcentral lists this ribosomal RNA (497 nucleotides) under uncultured bacterium. RNAcentral describes it as "partial 16S ribosomal RNA". It matches the Rfam family "Bacterial small subunit ribosomal RNA", at positions 28 to 507 of the family's 1533-position model. The record is from RNAcentral.